Gossypium raimondii (Peruvian cotton) is the source of this 4569-nucleotide long non-coding RNA. RefSeq lists it as uncharacterized. NCBI's taxonomy places the organism in Eukaryota, Viridiplantae, Streptophyta, Magnoliopsida, Malvales, Malvaceae. The transcript has 3 exons. The record is from RefSeq and is a predicted model, not a curated record.
GGUUACGAACAAGUGUCGAGAGUUAAGAGCUCGGAAGUCAGAUUUGGUCGGAGACACAUCACACUAUCAAUCUCGAGAUCUCGAUCAAGAACUGGUAGGUAAUCGUGGAAAAGAGAAAAUCGCAUACUAGUCCCUGAUACUCCUAUCUUUAUUGGUUGGCCUUGGUAAGUUCAUAAAAUAUUGUCUUGUGUAUUUUAGUAAUGUUUUUUUUAUUGAAUUUUGUAUUUUGGGGAUAUUAAAUGUGAACUUAAAUGCUACAAUUGAUACAAGGUGAGAAAAUGAAUUGAGAUGGAAAUGUCUGUUAUAUGUAAUGAGCUCGGAUGAACAUAGGAUAUGAUACAAUUGGCAUGCCAAUAGGUUAUAUUGUGUGCUUUACGGGAUUGAUAUGUGCUGAGAUGAUGACAGAUGAUAUGAUAUUAUACAUUAAAUGUAUCAAAAUCCAUCAUUUGUUGUGGAUUACCGAGUUAUAUUUAUAGUGAUCUAGGGGAGGAUGUAAAGCCUACGAGCUUGGCAAUUGGUGCCCAGACGUGUUUCUAAAGGGAUGUUAGCCUUUGGGCUAGGCCUAAGCGCCCAGGCAUGUUCUCGGUUGGAUUAACUCGACUGAGCAUUCUAGCGUGUUUUUGGUGGAUAGUCGCGUAUCGAUAGUUCAUAUCAGUUCAUCGGGCUGAAUCUUAAUUGUUAAACAAUUUAAUGACUUGUAUGGAUAUAUGGUGAUGAAUCUUGAUGAAAAAAAUUGAAAAUGUGUUUAUAUUUAUAGAUGUUGUAUGAUGAUUUGAUAUUGAAUUAACUCGUUUACUUGAAAGUUCAUAUGGCUUGAAUAUGAAGUACCCACCUCUUGAUAUGGUUGUGGUGACAGGGUUAAGUAUAGUUAAUUGUUUGUUAUUUAAAAUUUAAAUAAAAGGUAUGUUAUAUUGUUUUAACCUAUGAACUUACUAAGCUCAAUUGAAGCCCACUUUGCUUUGUUUUUCUUUUUUUUUUUGUAGUUGUUGUGUUGCGGAACCAGGUAAUCAGAUCACACUAUCCAGCCAUUUUUUAGUAGACUUUGAAAAUGUUAUAUUUUGGUUUUGUGGCAUGUAAUAAGAGUAAUUUGUAUAUGAACUUGUGUGGUUGUAAUGUAUAUAUGUUGGUGUUUGCACAAAAUGAAGUGUGGUUAAUGGUUAAAUGGUAUGGUUGCUCAUGGUUUGAUGUGGUAAUCUUGAAUGUGAAAUUGAGCUUAGUAUAUGAUGAAAUAAAAUAGGUAAUCGGUCGGUUGAAAUAUGGUAUGAAAUGAAUUGCUAAGUGAGAUUUUGGUUGAACAUAAGGCAUAAUGGUUUUACAUUUGAUCUGGAUGUUAUUUAGGUGUUAUGUAUAAUGGUUAUUUUGUUAGCAAAUGCAUCGGUGAAUAUACCUUGGUAUGUGGUUGUUGGUUAGUGAUAGAAGUUAUGAUAUCUUUGAUGAUUCAUAUGGUAAUUGCUUAGCUAUGCUUAAUCUUGAAUGAUGUUUGUGAUGAUGUCUUAUGGCAUAUUGGUUAGGCAAUACUAGGAUGUAUUAUAUCAUGUUUUGGAUUGAGUUCAUGAAGUGUUUUAGGUAAGAAUUUAAAGAAAUUGUAAGGUGCUAUAUGUGUAUGUAUGUAUCCUUAAAAUGGUAUGUGAUUUGAGCAUAAAAUGAACUUUAAAACUCAUGAUUUUGACAAUUUUGAUAAAAGUAUCGAUGUUAGGGACUAAGGUAUCGAUACUGGACCAAAUGAACAAUUUUAAAAUCGACAGAAUUCUAAUUUGGCGUCGGAAUUUUUCAAUAAGUAUCGAUAAUUCUUUAAAAACAUCGAUACCUUUUAGAGGUAUCGAUAAAAUGAUUUGAACCAAAUUUUCCAAAUUUGACAGAAUUUCAAACUAGUAUCGAUAUUUAAUUUGGUAUUGAUAUCAAACUCAAAAAUACCGAUACCUAUUACAAAAAUAUCGAUACCUUAUCCAGUUUUUGAAAAUUUUAUAAUUUGGUCAUUUUUCAUGCUCAAAUCUAACCCUUUGUAUUUAAAACUCGAUUUUAGUUCCGUUCUCAUUUGUAAUAAUUAUUGUGUGUAUAAAUAGAAUCAUUCAAUGUUUUAAAUUUUACAUGAUUAUUUCGUUUUAUUUGUAGCAUCUUAUAGCUUAGGUCCAAUGACCAGACCGAGUAUAGGGUGUUAUAAGUGGGAACUUAUUACAAAUUAUUUAAUCCCUUGUUAUAUAUGUCUAAUUGACCCCAAGUUGAAUUUAUCCUCGAUCUAUUUAUGGAUUCAUUCACUUGUGGCGUUCAUGGUGUGACCUACUGUUAGCUCAAUCGAUUAACUAAAAUAGCCAAGAAGGGGUGAAUUGGCUAUUAAAAUUUUUUGUGGAAGCAAGGAUAAGAAAAUGAGACCUAGAACACAAUGAUUUUAGAUUUGUUCAGCCCCGAUUGCCUACUCUACUACCUUAGCUUUCCACCACUAAGGAUUGUCCUAAAUUCACUAAUUUGAUGAACCUUUGAGGACAAUGCUUAACCUUACAACUCCCAUAGGAUUUGUACCAGCCUGUUUUUCAGUGGUGUCGGAAACAGUGAUUUUGGGACCAAAAAUUCGAUGAGUAAGUUCAUAUAAUUAGUAUUUAAAUUAUACGAGUCAAUAGUAAUUUUUAUAUUGAAUUUUGAUUUGAUGAUUUUAAAUAAUUGAAUUAAAGGUUAGUUUAAGUGAUUUAGUUCAAAAGUCAAGUGGUUAUUGAAAACGAGCUAUUAGGACCUCGUUUCUGUAAUAUAAAGUCGUAAAUAUUUUUAUUAAAUAUUUACAGAGUCAUAUUAUACAUGAAUUGAAGUUGGGUCCGGUAAUUUUGAUGAUUUUUUUGCUUAAUUGAGGUAAAAGAGAUUAAAUUGUAAAAGAAGUAAAAGUUAAUUGCUAUAGAUUUAAAAUAGUAAAAGGAUCAAAAUGGAAAUUGAACCAUGGUAAAAGAGUCCAAGCGGUGGUGGCAUGAUAAAAUCUACUAACUUUUGGGGCUAUUUGCUCAUUUAGUCCUAAUUAGUUUAGGAUUAAAUUGAAAAUAAGCUAGUUUAGUUAAAAUUUAAAAUAAUUGAAGAACCAAUUGUGCAAUUAAACCCUCAUUAAUUAGAAAUUAUACCAUUUGAGUAGAUAAUGCACAGUUUGCAAGGCUAAUUACAUGAAAUUUUAUUGAAAUUGUAAGGUUAUAAUAGUAAUUUAUGAAAUUAGGUAAAAUGAAAAUAAAGCAAAAGCCAAAAUUGGCUAUCAUAUUUUUGUUUCUUCCUUAAAAAUUUGAAUCUACCAUUGUUGAGAGGAGAAACCUUCGACCAAGCUAGGUUUCGUCAAUUGAGUAGGUAAAUUUUGCCCCUUUUCAGUAAUUUUUAUGUUUUUGAUCUCGUAUUAGCUUAAUCUAGCUAACUCGGGGAUUAAUUUGUAAAGCUAUCAAAUUUUUUGGAUUAUGCCAUUGAAUCUUGAAGUUUUAUGGUAGAAUAUGAAGCUUGGUUUCUAGAUAAGACUAUUUUGUAAAGUAAUUUUUGGUAAUUUUAAUGUUUAAGGACUAAAUCAUUAAAGUGAUAAAAUUACAGAAACUUGUUGUGUAAUAACAGAAAUUAUAGGCUGUAGAGAGGCCUUAUAUAGUUCAGAUAAACUUUAUUUUAUUCGAAAUUGGUUAAAUUGCUUGUUUUGGGCUUAGGGACUAAAUUGUAUAAAAGUAAAAUGUUGGGGGCAAUUUUGUAAAAAUGUAAAAAAUAACUUAAUUGCAUAAAAUGAAUAAAUGUUGCUGUUAGAAGUAGUGAUUUGUAUGGAAUUAUUAUUUUAUAUCCUAUACGAGUGGAAAAUCGAGGAUAAGAGGAUAUUACCAAAUAGCCCCUGUACUUUGUCGUUGUUAUAGUUUAGUCCGCUAAGUUCGUACGGUUUAAUUUUAGUACAUAUUUAAAUCUAUUAUAGGAACUUAAUUGCAUAAUAUUGGAUUAUAUUGAUGUGUGUAAUUGGAAAUGGAAAUAAUGAAUUGAAAUGACAUUGAUCACUAAUUUAGAUAUUAUGAGUCGUUACUGUAAAUCAAUCCUGUAAGUUCAAGCAUUUAUAAAUGCUUCUAAUAAUCCUUAUACUCUUUCUUAGUAUACUAUUAUUGAAUGUUAUAUUAUAUACUGAAUGAGAUUAGCAAGCGUUACCCACUGAUAUAUUGAUUGGUGCUCAGACGAACGAUACCUACUGAAUCUACUGAAACGUAUGCGCUUUCGAGCCAUACCUACUGAAUUUACUGAAACGUAUGCGCUCUCAAGCCAUACCUACUAAAUCUAUUCAAAAUAAUGCUCUAUUGAAUAAAAGAAUCUACUGAUAUACUGAAUAAAUCUCCUGUAACGUUAUCCACUGAUAUACUGAAGAAGCUCAAUCGAGCGAAAUCUAGUGAUAUACUAAGUAAAGCUCAAAGGAGCAUUAUCCACUGAAUAUAUUGAACUACUAUACUGAUAGCUAAUUUAUGAUAAAUGUUGUGUUUUAUGGAAUUUUAACAUUUAAUUUUAAUUGAUUACUAUGUUUAAUUGGAAAGGUUUAUCAAUAUAUACAAAUGAACUUACUAAGCUUUAUUCAAGCUUACCUGUAUUUGUCUUAUU